GAUGAACGCUGGCGGCGGGCUUAACACAUGCAAGUCGAACGGAAAGGCCCUGCUUUUGCGGGGUGCUCGAGUGGCGAACGGGUGAGUAACACGAGAGUAACCUGCCCUUGACUUUGGGAUAACUUCAGGAAACUGGGGCUCAUACCGGAUAGGAGCUCCCGCUGUAUGGUGGGGGUUGGAACGUUUCGGCGGUUGGGGAUGGACUCGUUGUUGAUCAGCUUGUUGGUGGGGUCGUGGCUAACCAAGGCUUUGACGGGUUGCUGGCCUGAGAGUGUGACCGGGCACGUGGGGACAGAGAUACGGCCCGGAGUCCUGCGGGAGGCUGCAGUGUGGAAUAUUGCACGAUGGGCGGAAGCCGGAUGCAGCAACGCUGCGUUCGGGAUGACGACCUGCGUGUUUAAGGCCGCUUUCGCCUGUGAGUGAGCGUGGGUGACGGUAAUAUAUAAAGAAGCACCGGCUAACUACGUG
This 468-nucleotide ribosomal RNA is filed under the name uncultured bacterium. RNAcentral's name for it is "partial 16S ribosomal RNA". It matches the Rfam family "Bacterial small subunit ribosomal RNA", at positions 28 to 507 of the family's 1533-position model. The record is from RNAcentral.